RNAcentral lists this transfer RNA (63 nucleotides) under Apaloderma vittatum (bar-tailed trogon). It matches the Rfam family "tRNA", at positions 7 to 64 of the family's 71-position model. Rfam says of the family: Transfer RNA (tRNA) molecules are approximately 80 nucleotides in length. Their secondary structure includes four short double-helical elements and three loops (D, anti-codon, and T loops). Lineage: Eukaryota; Metazoa; Chordata; Aves; Trogoniformes; Trogonidae. The record is from Rfam by way of RNAcentral.
UUAGCUCAGUCGGUCAGAGUGUGGUGCUGAUAACACCAAGGCCACGGGUUCAAUCCCCCCCUA